RNAcentral lists this ribosomal RNA (1516 nucleotides) under Caryophanon sp. d156. RNAcentral describes it as "partial 16S ribosomal RNA". It matches the Rfam family "Bacterial small subunit ribosomal RNA". Lineage: Bacteria; Bacillati; Bacillota; Bacilli; Caryophanales; Caryophanaceae. The record is from RNAcentral.
CGCGGAAUGGCGGCUGCUAAUAAUGCAAGUCGAGCGGAAUUUUAUUGGUGCUUGCACCUUUAAAAUUUUAGCGGCGGACGGGUGAGUAACACGUGGGUAACCUACCUUAUAGAUUGGGAUAACUCCGGGAAACCGGGGCUAAUACCGAAUAAUACUUUUUAACACAUGUUUGAAAGUUGAAAGACGGUUUUGCUGGCCCUAUUAAAAGGACCCCCGGCGCAUUAACUAGUUGGGGAGGGAACGGCUCCCCCAGGGAACCAUGCCUAACCCAACUGAAAGGGUGAUCGGGCCCCCUGGGACUGAAACCCCGCCCAAAAUCCUACCGGAAGGAGCCACGUGAAGCUGAAUCUUCCCCAAUGGACCAGGAAGUCUGAUAGGAAUCAACCCCCCCUGGGUGAAAGAAAGAUGUUCACGCCGCUGCCUGAGAAACUCUGUCUAGCUCAGUGGAGAAAACAAGUAACGUAAUAACUGGCGCUUCCUUGACGGUACCUUGGUAAAAAGCCACCGCUAACUACCUGCCCACCGCCGCGCGUAAUUCCUAAGUGGCAAGGCUUGUCCGGAAUUAUUGGGCGUAAAGCGCGCGCCAGUGGUUCCUUUAAGUCUGAUGUGGAAGCCCCCGGCUCAACCCGGGGAAGGUCAUUGGAAACUGGGGAACUUGAGUGCAGAAGGAGGAUAGUGGAAUUCCAAGUGGUAGCGGUGAAAUGCGUAGAGAUUUGGAGGAACACCAGUGGCGAAGGCGACUGUCUGGUCUGUAACUGACACUGAAGGCGCGAAAGCGUGGGGAGCAAACAGGAUUAAGAUACCCUGGUAGUCCACGCCGUAAACGAUGAGUGGCUAAGUGUUGGGGGGUUUCCGCCCCUCAGUGCUGCAGCUAACGCAUUAAGCACUCCGCCUGGGGAGUACGGUCGCAAGACUGAAACUCAAAGGAAUUGACGGGGGCCCGCACAAAGCCGGUGGAGCAUGUGGUUUAAUUCGAAGCAACGCGAAGAACCUUACCAGGUCUUGACAUCCCGGUGACCACUAUGGAGACAUAGUUUCCCCUUCGGGGGCGAACGGUGGACAUGUGCUCGGUGUCAUGAGUUGUAUCAGUCAGCUCGUGUCUAGUGCAGACUUCGUUGGGUUAAGUCCCGCAACGAGCGCAACCCUUAUUCUUAGUUGCCAUCAUUCAGUUGGGCACUCUAAGGAGACUGCCGGUGAUAAACCGGAGGAAGGUGGGGAUGACGUCAAAUCAUCAUGCCCCUUAUGACCUGGGCUACACACGUGCUACAAUGGACGGUACAAACGGUUGCCAACCCGCGAGGGGGAGCUAAUCCGAUAAAACCGUUCUCAGUUCGGAUUGUAGGCUGCAACUCGCCUACAUGAAGCCGGAAUCGCUAGUAAUCGCGGAUCAGCAUGCCGCGGUGAAUACGUUCCCGGGCCUUGUACACACCGCCCGUCACACCACGAGAGUUUGUAACACCCGAAGUCGGUGAGGUAACCUUUUGGAGCCAGCCGCCGAAGGUGGAUAGAUUUUGUG